UAGGGAAUCUUCCGCAAUGGGCGAAAGCCUGACGGAGCAACGCCGCGUGAGUGAUGAAGGUCUUCGGAUCGUAAAACUCUGUUAUUAGGGAAGAACAAAUGUGUAAGUAACUAUGCACGUCUUGACGGUACCUAAUCAGAAAGCCACGGCUAACUACGUGCCAGCAGCCGCGGUAAUACGUAGGUGGCAAGCGUUAUCCGGAAUUAUUGGGCGUAAAGCGCGCGUAGGCGGUUUUUUAAGUCUGAUGUGAAAGCCCACGGCUCGACCGUGGAGGGUCAUUGGAAACUGGAAAACUUGAGUGCAGAAGAGGAAAGUGGAAUUCCAUGUGUAGCGGUGGAAUGCGCAGAGAUAUGGGGGAACACCAGUGGCGAAGGCGACUUUCUGGUCUGUAACUGACGCUGAUGUGCGAAAGCGUGGGGAUCAAACAGG
This 429-nucleotide ribosomal RNA is filed under the name Actinomycetes bacterium. Its description in RNAcentral is "Actinobacteria bacterium partial 16S ribosomal RNA". It matches the Rfam family "Bacterial small subunit ribosomal RNA", at positions 355 to 776 of the family's 1533-position model. Lineage: Bacteria; Bacillati; Actinomycetota; Actinomycetes. The record is from RNAcentral.